Long non-coding RNA from Hippocampus comes (tiger tail seahorse), 208 nucleotides. RefSeq lists it as uncharacterized. Lineage: Eukaryota; Metazoa; Chordata; Actinopteri; Syngnathiformes; Syngnathidae. The record is from RefSeq and is a predicted model, not a curated record. The transcript has 3 exons.
UGUUGUAUAGUGCAGGACUACAGCUACCUAAAACAAUGAUUUGGAUGUAGAAGAUGCACGGACUGUACCAAAACAGUUCAACUGAAACAAUAAUACUGCCGCCCGAACCGAGAUUCUCAAAAUAGCUUCGUCAUCAUCUUGCGGCAUACCUGCUUUCACCGAGCAAUGGAUGUGGGCUUUGGAUUCAUAGUAGACCCAGUCGAAACCA